RNAcentral lists this ribosomal RNA (253 nucleotides) under uncultured bacterium. Its description in RNAcentral is "partial 16S ribosomal RNA". It matches the Rfam family "Bacterial small subunit ribosomal RNA", at positions 524 to 776 of the family's 1533-position model. The record is from RNAcentral.
UACGUAGGGCGCAAGCGUUGUCCGGAAUUAUUGGGCGUAAAGAGCUCGUAGGCGGUUUGUCGCGUCUGCUGUGAAAACCUAAGGCUCAACCUUGGGCUUGCAGUAGGUACGGGCAGACUAGAGUGCAGUAGGGGUGACUGGAAUUCCUGGUGUAGCGGUGGAAUGCGCAGAUAUCAGGAGGAACACCGAUGGCGAAGGCAGGUCACUGGGCCGCAACUGACGCUGAGGAGCGAAAGCAUGGGGAGCGAACAGG